This 253-nucleotide ribosomal RNA is filed under the name uncultured bacterium. RNAcentral's name for it is "partial 16S ribosomal RNA". It matches the Rfam family "Bacterial small subunit ribosomal RNA", at positions 524 to 776 of the family's 1533-position model. The record is from RNAcentral.
AACGUAGGACGCAAGCGUUAUCCGGAAUUACUGGGCGUAAAGGGCGUGUAGGCGGAUCAGCAAGUCAUGCGUGAAAGCUCCUGGCUAAACUGGGAGAGGUCGGAUGAGACUGUUGAUCUAGAGUAUGUCAGAGGCGUGUGGAAUUCCGCGUGUAGUGGUGAAAUGCGUAGAGAUGCGGAGGAACACCAGUGGCGAAGGCGGCACGCUGGGGCAUAACUGACGCUGAGGCGCGAAAGCAUGGGGAGCGAACGGG